AGAGUUUGAUCAUGGCUCAGAAUCAACGCUGGCGGCGUGCCUCAGACAUGCAAGUCGAACGAUUAAGACUCUCUUCGGAGAGUGUAUAGAGUGGCGCACGGGUGAGUAACACGUAGGUAAUUUGCCUUCGGGUGGGGAAUAACUUGGGGAAACCCAAGCUAAUACCGCAUAAUGCAGCGGCACCAAAUGGUGACAGUUGUUAAAGCUUUAUGUGCCUGAAGAGAAGCCUGCGGUGGAUUAGGUAGUUGGUAAGGUAAUGGCUUACCAAGCCUGCGAUCCAUAUCCGGUCUUAGAGGACGGUCGGACACACUGACACUGAAUAACGGGUCAGACUCCUACGGGAGGCAGCAGUCGGGAAUUUUGGGCAAUGGGCGAAAGCCUGACCCAGCAACGCCGCGUGAAGGAUGAAGUCCUUCGGGAUGUAAACUUCGGAAGAAUGGGAAGAAUAAAUGACGGUACCAUUUUUAAGCCCCGGCUAACUCCGUGCCAGCAGCCGCGGUAAUACGGAGGGGGCAAGCGUUGUUCGGAUUUACUGGGCGUAAAGGGCGCGUAGGCGGCGCAACAAGUCACUUGUGAAAUCUCCGGGCUUAACUCGGAACUGCCAAGUGAUACUGUAGUGCUAGAGUGCAGAAGGGGCAAUCGGAAUUCUUGGUGUAGCGGUGAAAUGCGUAGAUAUCAAGAGGAACACCAGAGGCGAAGGCGGAUUGCUGGGCUGACACUGACGCUGAGGCGCGAAAGCUAGGGUAGCAAACGGGAUUAGAUACCCCUGUAGUCC
This 775-nucleotide ribosomal RNA is filed under the name uncultured bacterium. Its description in RNAcentral is "bacterial SSU rRNA". It matches the Rfam family "Bacterial small subunit ribosomal RNA", at positions 8 to 796 of the family's 1533-position model. The record is from RNAcentral.